RNAcentral lists this microRNA (22 nucleotides) under Anolis carolinensis (green anole). RNAcentral's name for it is "aca-miR-187-5p". Its record names the gene aca-miR-187-5p. Lineage: Eukaryota; Metazoa; Chordata; Lepidosauria; Squamata; Anolidae. The record is from miRBase by way of RNAcentral.
GCUACAACACAGAACAUGGGCG